UAAGAAAGGAGAACACCCCCACGACCUGUUCGCCCCAACCGCCGCAUGCCCCUUGCCUCGCUGCCGAGUGGCGACCCCGCCGCCGCACGCAUCCGGCACCCACUCGCCUCUCCGGCGCCUGCCUCAUCUCCCCCAUGCGAACCUGCUCUACGUGCCGCCCCUCAUCCUCGGCGGCGAGAGGCACGCGGGAGCUGCCGCCGCUGCCAAGGGCAUGGACGCGUGUGGGCCAACCGCCGGCGUAGGAGGUCGCGCCUGAGCCCGCGGCACGGUGCCACGGGGUCCUCCGCCGCCAGUCCCUGUCGGUUCGAGAUCCCCCACUGCUCUCCUCACUGUCGUCGUUGUCCUUCCUUACUAGCCCCGCCCUUCUCCAAGACAAUGUUCUGCUCCGCCUCCAUCCAUUAUUGAGAAGAUGGUACUCCUCGGAGUAGAAGCUGAUGUACUGUAGUCAUGUUCAAGUGAUGGUUGACUAAGGUGCUGUUGAGAUGACUACGUUGCUGUCAAUUCAAAUAAACCUGAAUUGACUUUCGAGUAAAAUGGGGCAGAGUUCAACUUCAAACAAAGCGGCAAGACAAUAAUAAUAGAUUUUUAGAAUUUUUUUUAGAGGAGUGUGUUUCAUGCUGGCCUACAAUGAUGAACUAGGGCUGGCUUAUAAUCUAUUUUUUAAUUUAGCUGAUGUGCAAAUUUAACAAAGUGCAGUAGGGCUGGACUUUUCAUAGGUAGCGGCCUCAGUUUAUCUCCAAGGGAUUAUUGUUUCCAGACAUUAUUGUAGACAUUUUUGGAUAUAGGGCUGGCCUUUUUCAACCAUAGAUUUUCACAAACUGUAGACAUCUCAAGACCUGCUUCUUGGAACAACAACACACCAUGAAUAAAUUAACAGAUCAACAAAUGGUCCAGGAAACAUAGCUGCUUGCUGGCAUCUCCUGAAUUUCGAACCAAAACGAGAUCCAAUUCAUAAAUGAACCAAAACAUGACUGCUUGCUGGUAUCUCAUGGUAACACACCAAAUUAUUCAAAUAAAAUACUCCAUAUAAUUCAAAUAAAUACUCCUGUACAGGAGCCACCAUACAAAUCACUCAGUAAUUUGUUGUGAGUACAACUUGAGAAAGAGUUUUUCAAAGAAACAAAAGAAAGUAACUAAAACUUCAGAGUAUAUUGUUGUUUAUAUAAACUGAAACCCAUUUUGGUUGAACAGAGAAAAUAAUAUAGAACUGUGGUCUAACAUUUUUGUCGUGAUUCUUCUAAUUUGAAUUUAAAUGCAACAAGGUAUUGUCAAUUUUUGUAACAGGAUUUUGUUGUGGACUUCAGAUUUUAGAAGAAGAGAUUGGUGGUGUUAAACACCAUUUUUGGACCAAUCAAUGAAUUAGCAUUUAAUCCUAAUGGGAGGAGGUUAGUUCAUACUCUAACAUUGUAUUUUGAUUUCUUAUGUUUGUAUUUUGCCUCUGAUCAAGAUUAGCAUUUAAUCCUGGACAUUUUAACAAUCUCCCAGUCCAACUUUCAGGUUUUGAAAGUAGCAUAUACAUCAAAUAUUUGUGGACAUCAUGCAUGCAUUAAAAUCUGGGAAAAGUUAGUUUCUUGGCUAUGUCUUGUCAUAGCUGGGUGCUCCUGAUUCAAAAGAAUUAAAGGUGAACUCCUCAAAGCAUAGUUCAGCAAAAAGAACACUGCAGGUAAAAACACAAGCAGGAAACAUUGUGAUGUUUGUCUGAAUUUAUUUCCCGCACACCAAUUGUUUAUCUCAACAUCUGUAGAGGUUAUGCCCGUGCUACUGAAUUUAAAAUCGAACGGAAUUAUCAUUUAGAUGCGCUUUUGAUAGCCUGCAGUUGGUUAUUUGGUUCUCCGAAACUCCAGAUCAAUGCAGUCACCUACUGUUAGUUCCAUUACAAUUCCAUUUCAUAACAGAAAAAUAGCACACUGUCCUGUUUGUUAAAGAUAAACACCUCCUUUAGUGUUCACUGUUCAGUGUUCCCAUAAGUUCACUGUUUUGAUGUCUAGGAGGAACUGAACAAACUCUGCUUGCCAAAUGAGAUUUGAGCACGAAGCUCCUUAACCUAAAGGCCGAAGUGAACAAACGUCCCAUCUCAGCAAUCCCAGCAAUCUUGUCUGAUUUUGAUUAUCUCCAAAAUUAACAGUGAAUUUGGUUGAAUUACUCUGUACCUUCACAGUGCAGAGGAGGAGGAGCUUAGCAGCAGCAGAGCGGGCACGGGAGAAGCAUGGGAGACAGCAGAGCUUCACCAACGGGAGCUCGAGGAGAAGCAACAGCCGGAGCUCAAGGAGAAGCAGUAGUCGGAGCAUGAGGAGAAGCGGUAGCGGGAGCUCGAGGACACGCGGGAGAGCAGUUUUGGGUGGGGGCGACGGUGACGGCGCAGGUCUGGGCGGCGGGAGGGUAUCGCGGCGGCGGCGGCGACGCCCGUAGGGAAUCGCGGCUGGCCGGCGCCGGCACCUGGCAACGCGCGGGCGACGAGCAAAGGAAGAAGGCGGGGUGGAGUGGUCUAUUUGAGACACUUUUCAAAUUGCGAGGGCUUUUGUUCGCAAAUUUAGCAAUGAACUGGCCGCGCGACAAGAAUAUCGGGACGGAGGGAGUAUUGUUUUGUUAUUCUCAUUUUUUAGCACGGAUAUGUCUACCAUCAAACAUAUUAGAGUUGACAGCCAAGAUAUACCUACUUAAGCAUUAACAUUGUAUGUAUACCGUAUACAUUAAACGACCAGUGCCGGUGCUAAUUUCAGCUUUUUA
Molecule: long non-coding RNA, 2727 nt
Organism: Aegilops tauschii subsp. strangulata
Lineage: Eukaryota; Viridiplantae; Streptophyta; Magnoliopsida; Poales; Poaceae
Source: RefSeq, a predicted model, not a curated record